GUCGAGCGAAGCGAUAAGGUGAAAUUUUUCGGAAUGAAGCCAUAUUGACUUAGCGGCGGACGGGUGAGUAACGCGUGGGUAACCUGCCUCAUACAGGGGGAUAACAGUUAGAAAUGACUGCUAAUACCGCAUAAGCGCACGGGACUGCAUGGUCCGGUGUGAAAAACCGAGGUGGUAUGAGAUGGACCCGCGUCUGAUUAGCUGGUUGGCGGGGUAACGGCCCACCAAGGCGACGAUCAGUAGCCGACCUGAGAGGGUGGCCGGCCACAUUGGGACUGAGACACGGCCCAAACUCCUACGGGAGGCAGCAGUGGGGAAUAUUGCACAAUGGGGGAAACCCUGAUGCAGCAACGCCGCGUGAGUGAAGAAGUAUUUCGGUAUGUAAAGCUCUAUCAGCAGGGAAGAGAAUGACGGUACCUGACUAAGAAGCCCCGGCUAACUACGUGCCAGCAGCCGCGGUAAUACGUAGGGGGCGAGCGUUAUCCGGAUUUACUGGGUGUAAAGGGAGCGUAGACGGUUCUGCAAGUCUGAAGUGAAAGCCCGUGGCUUAACCGCGGAACGGCUUUGGAAACUGUGGAACUGGAGUGCUGGAGAGGCAAGCGGAAUUCCUAGUGUAGCGGUGAAAUGCGUAGAUAUUAGGAGGAACACCAGUGGCGAAGGCGGCUUGCUGGACAGUAACUGACGUUGAGGCUCGAAAGCGUGGGGAGCAAACAGGAUU
RNAcentral lists this ribosomal RNA (718 nucleotides) under uncultured bacterium. Its description in RNAcentral is "bacterial SSU rRNA". It matches the Rfam family "Bacterial small subunit ribosomal RNA", at positions 61 to 779 of the family's 1533-position model. The record is from RNAcentral.